This 713-nucleotide ribosomal RNA is filed under the name uncultured Acidovorax sp. RNAcentral describes it as "bacterial SSU rRNA". It matches the Rfam family "Bacterial small subunit ribosomal RNA", at positions 1 to 737 of the family's 1533-position model. The record is from RNAcentral. Lineage: Bacteria; Pseudomonadati; Pseudomonadota; Betaproteobacteria; Burkholderiales; Comamonadaceae.
UGAUGAAGGAAUUUAACUGGCGCUGGCGGCAUGACUACCGCUUUAAGUGAACGGUAACAGGUCUUCGGAGUAUGACGAGUGGCGACGUGAGUAAUACAUCGGAACGUGCCCGAUCGUGGGGGAUAACGGAGCGAAAGCUUUGCUAAUACCGCAUACGAUCUACGGAUGAAAGCAGGGGACCGCAAUGCCUUGCGCGGACGGAGCGGCCGAUGGCAGAUUAGGUAGUUGGUGGGAUAAAAGCUUACCAAGCCGACGAUCUGUAGCUGGUCUGAGAGGACGACCAGCCACACUGGGACUGAGACACGGCCCAGACUCCUACGGGAGGCAGCAGUGGGGAAUUUUGGACAAUGGGCGAAAGCCUGAUCCAGCCACGCCGCGUGCAGGAUGAAGGCCUUCGGGUUGUAAACUGCUUUUGUACGGAACGAAAAGACUCCUUCUAAUAAAGGGGGUCCAUGACGGUACCGUAAGAAUAAGCACCGGCUAACUACGUGCCAGCAGCCCGAGGUAAUACGUACGGUGCAAGCGUAAUCGGAAUUACUGGGCGUAAAGCGUGCGCAGGCGGUUAUAUAAGACAGAUGUGAAGUCCCCGAGGCUCAACUGGGGAACUGCAUUUGUGACUGUAUAGUAGAAUACGGUAGAGGGGGAUGGAAUCCGGCGUGUAGCAGUGAAUGCGUACAUUGCGGGGAACACGAUGGAAAGGAAUCCUGGACUGG